GUCUCAGUUCGGAUUGCAGGCUGCAACUCGCCUGUAUGAAGUCGGAAUUGCUAGUAAUCGCGGAUCGGCAUGCCGCGGUGAAUACGUUCCCGGGCCUUGUACACACCGCCCGUCACACCAUGAGAGUCGGUAACACCCGAGGUCUGUAGCCUGACGCAAGAGGGCGCAGCCGAAGGUGGGAUUGAUGACUGGGGUGAAGUCGUAACAAGGUACC
This 214-nucleotide ribosomal RNA is filed under the name uncultured bacterium. RNAcentral's name for it is "partial 16S ribosomal RNA". It matches the Rfam family "Bacterial small subunit ribosomal RNA", at positions 1285 to 1500 of the family's 1533-position model. The record is from RNAcentral.